GACGAACGCGGCGGCGUGCCUAAUACAUGCAAGUAGAACGCUGAAGCUUGGUGCUUGCACCGAGCGGAUGAGUUGCGAACGGGUGAGUAACGCGUAGGUAACCUGCCUGGUAGCGGGGGAUAACUAUUGGAAACGAUAGCUAAUACCGCAUAAGAGUAGAUGUUGCAUGACAUUUGCUUAAAAGGUGCAAUUGCAUCACUACCAGAUGGACCUGCGUUGUAUUAGCUAGUUGGUGAGGUAACGGCUCACCAAGGCGACGAUACAUAGCCGACCUGAGAGGGUGAUCGGCCACACUGGGACUGAGACACGGCCCAGACUCCUACGGGAGGCAGCAGUAGGGAAUCUUCGGCAAUGGACGGAAGUCUGACCGAGCAACGCCGCGUGAGUGAAGAAGGUUUUCGGAUCGUAAAGCUCUGUUGUAAGAGAAGAACGAGUGUGAGAGUGGAAAGUUCACACUGUGACG
Molecule: ribosomal RNA, 463 nt
Filed under: Streptococcus sp. oral taxon C08
Lineage: Bacteria; Bacillati; Bacillota; Bacilli; Lactobacillales; Streptococcaceae
Description: bacterial SSU rRNA
Rfam family: Bacterial small subunit ribosomal RNA
Source: RNAcentral